UUAUCGUAGUUUAUUUUCCAG
RNAcentral lists this non-coding RNA (21 nucleotides) under Caenorhabditis elegans. The record is from RNAcentral. Lineage: Eukaryota; Metazoa; Nematoda; Chromadorea; Rhabditida; Rhabditidae.